This 883-nucleotide long non-coding RNA is filed under the name Brassica napus (rape). RNAcentral's name for it is "long non-coding RNA (BNAP_LNC009829)". The record is from RNAcentral. Lineage: Eukaryota; Viridiplantae; Streptophyta; Magnoliopsida; Brassicales; Brassicaceae.
GUAUGUAUCUUUAUGGUUAGAUUCUGAAAUCUUACCUUCAUUUUUUUUUUUUUCAAAUUGACCCAUAUAUGUGUUACUAACUUGAUUUAAACACUUUCUAAGUUUUUUUUUUAAGUUUAAGAAAGUGUUUUUUGCAUAGUUAAUUGAUUUUAGGGUCUGGAAGACUCACAAAAGACUUAAAAAGAAGUCUUCAGACACAUCCCGCCUAAAUUUUAGUAGAAUUUAUGGUUCCCGCCUAAAUUUUGGAAUUAUUUAUGUUUCUCGCCUAAAUCAAAGUCUUCCUGGAGUCUUCCAUAAGUCUUCCAGAAGUCUUCCAGGAGUCUUCCAUAAGUCUUCCAGAGAAAGUCUUCUCAUGGUUUAGAUUUUAAAAAUAAGUUAAAAGUUUUAUAAAAAAUAUUUUCAUGGGUUAAAAUUUGAAAUCAUGUAAUAUUAAAUAUUUUUCAAUGAUGUAAAUUUAGUUUAUCUGAAAUUGAAUUAUUUUCAACAUAGAUGAGUGAAUGUAGAUUGGUUCAUGAGUCAUUGGUUUAGGGUUUGGUAACAUAUGUUAUAGUAUUGUUGGUAUCUUUAGGGUUAGAUUUGAAAUCUUAUCUUCAUUUUUUUUUCCUUUUUCAAAUUGACUUAACUAUCUAAUAAUUUGAUUUAAACACUUUAUAAGUUUUUUUUAAGUUCAAAAAGUUUUUUUUUGCAUAGUUAUUUGAUUUUAGGGUCUAGAAGACUCACUAAAAACUUAAAAAGAAGUCUUCCGACACAUCCCGCCUAAAUCAAAGUCUUCCAUAAGUCUUCCAUGAGUCUUACAUAAGUCUUCCAUGAGUCUUCCAUAACUCUUCCAGAAGUCUUCUGAGUCGAAAAUAUUUAACCUAAUUGGAAUUUUUGUCUCCAUAUA